This 386-nucleotide ribosomal RNA is filed under the name Clostridioides difficile. RNAcentral describes it as "bacterial LSU rRNA". It matches the Rfam family "Bacterial large subunit ribosomal RNA", at positions 1 to 387 of the family's 2925-position model. The record is from RNAcentral. Lineage: Bacteria; Bacillati; Bacillota; Clostridia; Peptostreptococcales; Peptostreptococcaceae.
UGGUCAAGUUAUUAAGGGUGCAGGGCGGAUGCCUUGGCACUAGGAGCCGAUGAAGGACGUGAUAAGCUGCGAUAAGCUUCGGGGAGUUGCACGUAAACUUUGAUCCGAAGAUUUCCGAAUGAGGAAACUCACUUAGAGUAAUGUCUAAGUAUCAUUAAGUGAAUACAUAGCUUAAUGAGGGGAACUCAGGGAACUGAAACAUCUAAGUACCUGAAGGAAGAGAAAGAAAUUCGAUUCCGUAAGUAGCGGCGAGCGAACGCGGAUUAGCCCAAACCAAUAAAGUUUUCUUUAUUGGGGUUGCGGACAUAUCAUAACGAAGAGGUAUCGUAAUUGAAGAGGUUUGGAAAGACCCACCACAGAAGGUAAUAGUCCUGUAUGUUAAACGA